Molecule: ribosomal RNA, 469 nt
Filed under: uncultured bacterium
Lineage: Bacteria
Description: partial 16S ribosomal RNA
Rfam family: Bacterial small subunit ribosomal RNA
Source: RNAcentral
GACGAACGCUGGCGGCGUGCUUAACACAUGCAAGUCGAACGGUGAAGCGAGUGCUUGCUCUCGUGGAUCAGUGGCGAACGGGUGAGUAACACGUGAGUAACCUGCCCAUCACUCUGGGAUAAGCACUGGAAACGGUGUCUAAUACUGGAUACGACCAACCCUUGCAUGGGGUGUUGGUGGAAAGAUUUAUCGGUGAUGGAUGGACUCGCGGCCUAUCAGCUUGUUGGCGGGGUAAUGGCCCACCAAGGCGACGACGGGUAGCCGGCCUGAGAGGGUGACCGGCCACACUGGGACUGAGACACGGCCCAGACUCCUACGGGAGGCAGCAGUGGGGAAUAUUGCACAAUGGGCGAGAGCCUGAUGCAGCGACGCCGCGUGAGGGAUGACGGCCUUCGGGUUGUAAACCUCUUUCAGCAGGGAAGAAGCGAAAGUGACGGUACCUGCAGAAGAAGCACCGGCUAACUACGUG